RNAcentral lists this ribosomal RNA (220 nucleotides) under uncultured bacterium. RNAcentral's name for it is "partial 16S ribosomal RNA". It matches the Rfam family "Bacterial small subunit ribosomal RNA", at positions 120 to 334 of the family's 1533-position model. The record is from RNAcentral.
AGUAACCUGCCUUGGAGGUGGGGAAGUAAACACAGUGAAAAUUAGUUGCUAAUACCGCAUAAUGCAUUUGGAUCGCAUGGUUCUGAAUGCCAAAGAUUUAUCGCUCUGAGAUGGACUCGCGUCUGAUUAGCUAGUUGGCGGGGCAACGGCCCACCAAGGCGACGAUCAGUAGCCGGACUGAGAGGUUGGCCGGCCACAUUGGGACUGAGACACGGCCCAG